UAGAAGCUGAUUUUGAAUUGUUCUCUGUAGUUUUUACUAUUACUCUAACGAAAAACAUCCCGAUGCUGAGAGUCUGUGCAACAGGUGAGCUGAUUAUCACAGACAUAAAUGGAAACAGGAUUGUCCAGGCUGCAGCCAACAAGUAAAGAGGAUGUUUUGAAUUUUACUGCCUCGAAGCUUAGUGUUGGGCUCACCGUAGAGCUCGGAGGAAAAGCUUUGGGGCUCUGUUGCUGCUCUGCAUCCAGCUGCCCAUCAAAGUCAUUAGGUGCUUCUUGGGAGUUAUCAAGAGUUCCUUCACUAUAAACCCAUGUCAUCCGUGGUUUCUCUGUGCGCAUGCACGUGCCUUUUGAUGGAGAUGCAAAUCUGGAGUCAAGCUCUUCCAAGGACGGAACUGAACCAAAGAUGCAGCUGAAAGAGGUUUCUCUGACAAACAGCAGGUUCUACUUCCAGGCCUGCAGGGACACGCACUGUUUUGCUGUGUAAAUAAGUUAGUAGUAAAUCUUACCAAAGUCCACAAACCACUGUCUGCAUGGAGAACUCAAAUCUUGGAUCAUAAAGCUCUUAGAUCUCUCCUGUGCCUCAGUUUCCUCUAAACCAGGCUUGUCUACCCAUGCAGCUGAGAGGUUAAGGUUAUUGGAGGAUGGUGAGUGCCGAUGAUCUGCCUCCUGGACUGGGAACUGCUCUAAGUUUAACACUAACACAUCUACAACAUGCCUGCAAAGACUGGCUGCAAGCCCUGGAUCUAAGGGUCAUGUUCAAAGAGCAGGACUUAAGUCGGAGUUCUUAGCGGCAUAGAAGAUGGCUGACUAAACAUUACCAUGUUAUUUAAUCGCUCAAGGAAUUUACUGGACAAGAUUGAUACAGGCAGAGAGCCCUAGGACAAGCCCAUUGCCUCCAGUGACAUCCUUCUAACGAGCAAGGCUAUCAGUACAGAAAUUUCUGCAAUCGGGGAUGCCUGGGCCGCUUUGGUUGUAUUUGGGUAACGACACAUGACAGUCCCUGGAAAGCACUUUGGAGCUCAGACACAGAGCAGUUGUGGUGCAGUGAUGUUCUUAAAUACGAAGCUGGAAAUGCGGCGGUGCCAGACGAGGCAAUUUGGUCUGUCCUGGGGCUCGGCCUGCAGCAGCUCUGUCCCUCCUGCCUCCCAGCAAGGCAAGAAAACAAGCAUGCACAGACUAGAUGUUCUGGAGAUGCAAAGUCUUUCCACUUCCUUCCUCCCCUGAUGUCUUCAAAACCGUGCUUUGUAUCCAUGUUGCCGUAUAUUGAGUUUAAGCGCACGGUCUCACAAAGGGGACGUGAUUUUGCACAUUGUAUUUUUAUUCAACAGUAAUCCUGCGUGUGGCCUGCUGUGGUGGUUGAUCAAACUGGUGUUCGAAGGUCCUCGUGCAACU
Phalacrocorax carbo (great cormorant) is the source of this 1391-nucleotide non-coding RNA. Lineage: Eukaryota; Metazoa; Chordata; Aves; Suliformes; Phalacrocoracidae. The record is from RefSeq and is a predicted model, not a curated record.